RNAcentral lists this transfer RNA (454 nucleotides) under Salmo salar (Atlantic salmon). RNAcentral describes it as "lncRNA (ENSSSAG00000105980.1)". The stretch from base 78 to 150 matches the Rfam family "tRNA". Lineage: Eukaryota; Metazoa; Chordata; Actinopteri; Salmoniformes; Salmonidae. The record is from RNAcentral.
CUUAUUUUGGAAAUUCGAAUACGUGCCAUGAAUAUUUUUAAAAUUCGGUUUACUCCUUGCAGCUAAUUGUAGCAGUAGUUUCUGUGGUGUAGUGGUUAUCACGUUCGCUUUACACGCGAAAGGUCCUCGGUUCGAAACCGGGCGGAAACAGUGCUCUUUGACACCUGCAGUAGGUACAAUACUUUUAAAAGAGAAUAGUUAUUUUCAUAAAUGCCUAAAUUUGGAAAUUUCAACACGUGCCAUGAAUAUCUGUAAAAUUCGGUUUACUCCUUGCAGCUGAAUGUAGCAGCAGUGUCUGUAGUGUAGUGGUUAUCACGUUCGCUUUACACGUGAAAGGUCCUCAGUUUGAAACCGGGAGGAAACAGUGCUCUUUGACAUGUGCAGUAGGUACUGUACUAUUAACAGAGAAUAGUUAUUUUCAUAAAUGCCUAAUUUUGGAAAUUUGAACACGUGC